CCUACGGGGGGCAGCAGUGAGGAAUAUUGGUCAAUGGGCGCGAGCCUGAACCAGCCAAGUAGCGUGAAGGAUGACUGCCCUACGGGUUGUAAACUUCUUUUAUAAGGGAAUAAAGUGCGGCACGUGUGCCUUUUUGUAUGUACUUUAUGAAUAAGGAUCGGCUAACUCCGUGCCAGCAGCCGCGGUAAUACGGAGGAUCCGAGCGUUAUCCGGAUUUAUUGGGUUUAAAGGGUGCGUAGAUGGGGUGUUAAGUCAGUUGUGAAAGUUUGCGGCUCAACCGUAAAAUUGCAAUUGAUACUGGCAGGCUUGAGUACGGUUGAGGUAGGCGGAAUUCGUGGUGUAGCGGUGAAAUGCUUAGAUAUCACGAAGAACUCCGAUUGCGAAGGCAGCCUACUAAGCUGCCACUGACGCUGAUGCACGAAAGCGUGGGUAUCAAACAGGAUUAGAUACCCUUGUAGUC
Molecule: ribosomal RNA, 460 nt
Filed under: uncultured bacterium
Lineage: Bacteria
Description: partial 16S ribosomal RNA
Rfam family: Bacterial small subunit ribosomal RNA
Source: RNAcentral